ACUGCGUACCUUUUGUAUAAUGGGUCAGCGACUUAUAUUCUGUAGCAAGGUUAACCGAAUAGGGGAGCCGGAGGGAAACCGAGUCUUAAUUGGGCGUUAAGUUGCAGGGUAUAGACCCGAAACCCGGUGAUCUAGCCAUGGGCAGGUUGAAGGUUGGGUAACACUAACUGGAGGACCGAACCGACUAAUGUUGAAAAAUUAGCGGAUGACCUGUGGCUGGGGGUGAAAGGCCAAUCAAACCGGGAGAUAGCUGGUUCUCCCCGAAAGCUAUUUAGGUAGCGCCUCGUGAAUUCAUCUCCGGGGGUAGAGCACUGUUUCGGCUAGGGGGCCAUCCCGGCUUACCAACCCGAUGCAAACUGCGAAUACCGGAGAAUGUUAUCACGGGAGACACACGGCGGGUGCUAACGUCCGUCGUGAAGAGGGAAACAACCCAGACCGCCAGCUAAGGUCCCAAAGUCAUGGUUAAGUGGGAAACGAUGUGGGAAGGCCCAGACAGCCAGGAUGUUGGCUUAGAAGCAGCCAUCAUUUAAAGAAAGCGUAAUAGCUCACUGGUCGAGUCGGCCUGCGCGGAAGAUGUAACGGGGCUAAACCAUGCACCGAAGCUGCGGCAGCGACACUGUGUGUUGUUGGGUAGGGGAGCGUUCUGUAAGCCUGUGAAGGUGUGUCGUGAGGCAUGCUGGAGGUAUCAGAAGUGCGAAUGCUGACAUAAGUAACGAUAAAGCGGGUGAAAAGCCCGCUCGCCGGAAGACCAAGGGUUCCUGUCCAACGUUAAUCGGGGCAGGGUGAGUCGACCCCUAAGGCGAGGCCGAAAGGCGUAGUCGAUGGGAAACGGGUUAAUAUUCCCGUACUUGGUGUUACUGCGAAGGGGGGACGGAGAAGGCUAUGUUGGCCGGGCGACGGUUGUCCCGGUUUAAGCGUGUAGGUGUGUGUUCCAGGUAAAUCCGGUUCACUUUAACACUGAGGCGUGACGACGAGGCACUACGGUGCUGAAGCAACAAAUGCCCUGCUUCCAGGAAAAGCCUCUAAGCAUCAGGUAACAUCAAAUCGUACCCCAAACCGACACAGGUGGUCAGGUAGAGAAUACCAAGGCGCUUGAGAGAACUCGGGUGAAGGAACUAGGCAAAAUGGUGCCGUAACUUCGGGAGAAGGCACGCUGACACGUAGGUGAAGUGAUUUACUCAUGGAGCUGAAGUCAGUCGAAGAUACCAGCUGGCUGCAACUGUUUAUUAAAAACACAGCACUGUGCAAACACGAAAGUGGACGUAUACGGUGUGACGCCUGCCCGGUGCCGGAAGGUUAAUUGAUGGGGUCAGCGCAAGCGAAGCUCCUGAUCGAAGCCCCGGUAAACGGCGGCCGUAACUAUAACGGUCCUAAGGUAGCGAAAUUCCUUGUCGGGUAAGUUCCGACCUGCACGAAUGGCGUAAUGAUGGCCAGGCUGUCUCCACCCGAGACUCAGUGAAAUUGAACUCGCUGUGAAGAUGCAGUGUACCCGCGGCAAGACGGAAAGACCCCGUGAACCUUUACUAUAGCUUGACACUGAACAUUGAGCCUUGAUGUGUAGGAUAGGUGGGAGGCUUUGAAGUGUGGACGCCAGUCUGCAUGGAGCCGACCUUGAAAUACCACCCUUUAAUGUUUGAUGUUCUAACGUGGACCCGUUACCCGGGUUGCGGACAGUGUCUGGUGGGUAGUUUGACUGGGGCGGUCUCCUCCUAAAGAGUAACGGAGGAGCACGAAGGUUGGCUAAUCCUGGUCGGACAUCAGGAGGUUAGUGCAAUGGCAUAAGCCAGCUUGACUGCGAGCGUGACGGCGCGAGCAGGUGCGAAAGCAGGUCAUAGUGAUCCGGUGGUUCUGAAUGGAAGGGCCAUCGCUCAACGGAUAAAAGGUACUCCGGGGAUAACAGGCUGAUACCGCCCAAGAGUUCAUAUCGACGGCGGUGUUUGGCACCUCGAUGUCGGCUCAUCACAUCCUGGGGCUGAAGUAGGUCCCAAGGGUAUGGCUGUUCGCCAUUUAAAGUGGUACGCGAGCUGGGUUUAGAACGUCGUGAGACAGUUCGGUCCCUAUCUGCCGUGGGCGCUGGAGAACUGAGGGGGGCUGCUCCUAGUACGAGAGGACCGGAGUGGACGCAUCACUGGUGUUCGGGUUGUCAUGCCAAUGGCACUGCCCGGUAGCUAAAUGCGGAAGAGAUAAGUGCUGAAAGCAUCUAAGCACGAAACUUGCCCCGA
This 2222-nucleotide ribosomal RNA is filed under the name Salmonella enterica subsp. enterica serovar Enteritidis. Its description in RNAcentral is "partial 23S ribosomal RNA". It matches the Rfam family "Bacterial large subunit ribosomal RNA", at positions 596 to 2802 of the family's 2925-position model. The record is from RNAcentral. Lineage: Bacteria; Pseudomonadati; Pseudomonadota; Gammaproteobacteria; Enterobacterales; Enterobacteriaceae.